CACUGAAGGGAAGCUUACCAGAGUGCCAUCGAGUUCCUUCCCCUAAGGAUCAGACUUCCAGACUCAAGUGUCAUUUGACCUGGUAUCCAGCUUAAUACAGCCUCUGCUUUUGAAUAGAUUUCCUUACAAGUGGCAAUCUCUAAUAGGGUCAUGUCGAGAGGCAACCCGACUGCAUACUACCUACUGCACGUUAACGUGAUGAAGGUCUCUCCUGAGCACACGGCUUCAUAAACCAGCUGCACAAGCAACUGCAUCUGGGGAUCUGCUUCAAGAGAAACUUAACUAAAGCAAGAAUGGGCUCUAACUUCAGGAUACCUAGGAUUCUAACCUCGUUCCAUUACUUACCAACGAUAUGACCUGGGAAAAAUUAUAUACCUGCUGUGUCUCCAAAGUCUUCAGGCAGAGGCAACAACCACCAGGCAAACUUGAAGAGUUCUUGAACUACUUUUGAGGUUCCUCCUCAAUUUCACAGAUAUACCCUCCUCAGACUCCAGCCCCCAGUAUCUAAUGCCUGGAGCCUGAGUAGCAGGAUGGGAUUAAGUGACUUCUUGACUUGUGAACAAGAUAAAUGGAAGGUUCUGUUCAGAGGCUC
RNAcentral lists this long non-coding RNA (592 nucleotides) under Homo sapiens (human). RNAcentral's name for it is "HSALNT0352985". The record is from RNAcentral. Lineage: Eukaryota; Metazoa; Chordata; Mammalia; Primates; Hominidae.